This 600-nucleotide ribosomal RNA is filed under the name Triticum aestivum (bread wheat). Its description in RNAcentral is "partial small subunit ribosomal RNA". The record is from RNAcentral. Lineage: Eukaryota; Viridiplantae; Streptophyta; Magnoliopsida; Poales; Poaceae.
AUGUCUGAUGAGCUCCUCUGCACGGAGGCUGAGCUGGGCCGGGCUGUGGUGGUCUUGGUGACUGGUACACGACCGCUGGUCGACCUUGCAGAUGCGGCGGCCGCGAUUCCCCGGGUGUUCGAUAUUGGCCCGGCUGACAUGUCUAUCCGCGCGUUCUGGCCGGAAGACUUCCUGGUGAUCUGCGAGAACAUGCAUACUCGCAAUCGGCUGGUGGCGGACGGACGGGCAGAGAGGCCUGGGUUCUCGCUUUCACUUCGACCAUGGUCGCGUUUGGCCCAGGCGACGGCGGUGUCUCUUCCUACCCUGGUUCCGCUGGACCUGGUGGGUGUCCCGGCCCAAGCUUGGUGCAGACGGACGGCGGAGGUCAUCCUCCGUGGUUGUGGGUUUGUGGUGGACGUUGCGGCGGCUACUUCCCGACGGUAUGACAUGUCCCGUUUUCGCGUCUGGCUCCGGAGGAUCGCCCCGAGCGCAUCCCGGUGCGUCGCUUGCUGCUGGUGGAGGAGCCGGCGGUUUUGGAGAGGCCGAGGGGACGCCAUAGGGGCCCGCUGGGCCGCAGGUGGUACAGGACGCUCCGCUACCCCAUAUCCAUCCACAGGGUAG